Molecule: non-coding RNA, 91 nt
Organism: Pseudonaja textilis
Lineage: Eukaryota; Metazoa; Chordata; Lepidosauria; Squamata; Elapidae
Source: RefSeq, a predicted model, not a curated record
AUCUCAAAAUAAUGCAUUACGUCUUAUUUUGGGGAAAAUACAGUACUAAAUGUGUCUGGCUGGCUGACGAUCCUAACUGGGGCUUAUUUUA